RNAcentral lists this ribosomal RNA (253 nucleotides) under uncultured bacterium. RNAcentral describes it as "partial 16S ribosomal RNA". It matches the Rfam family "Bacterial small subunit ribosomal RNA", at positions 524 to 776 of the family's 1533-position model. The record is from RNAcentral.
UACGGAGGGGGCUAGCGUUGUUCGGAAUUACUGGGCGUAAAGGGCGCGUAGGCGGCCCGCUAAGUCGAACGUGAAAUCCCCAGGCUCAACCUGGGAACUGCGUCCGAUACUGGCAGGCUUGAAUCCGGGAGAGGGAUGUGGAAUUCCAGGUGUAGCGGUGAAAUGCGUAGAUAUCUGGAGGAACACCGGUGGCGAAGGCGGCAUCCUGGACCGGUAUUGACGCUGAGGCGCGAAAGCUAGGGGAGCAAACGGG